AACGCACAUUGCGCCCCCUGGCAUUCCGGGAGGCAUGCCUGUUCGAGCGUCAUUAAAAAGGCAUCAAGCGCAUUUGGCUUGGUUGUGAGGGAUGAGCGUCAGUUGCGGUCACCCUCGAAAUUGAUCUGCGGGUUUUUCGGAAAGCGGCUUUGCAGCGAUCAUAACUGAACGCCUUCGCAGCAGCACGUUUUCCGAGCCGCCGUCAAACCCCCCCAACACACAAUGGUUGACCUCGGAUCAGGUAGGGAUACCCGCUGAACUUAA
RNAcentral lists this unclassified non-coding RNA (264 nucleotides) under uncultured Pezizales. RNAcentral's name for it is "sequence contains 5.8S rRNA gene, ITS2, 28S rRNA gene". Lineage: Eukaryota; Fungi; Ascomycota; Pezizomycetes; Pezizales. The record is from RNAcentral.